Oncorhynchus tshawytscha (Chinook salmon) is the source of this 323-nucleotide long non-coding RNA. The record is from Ensembl. Lineage: Eukaryota; Metazoa; Chordata; Actinopteri; Salmoniformes; Salmonidae.
GACCCAUCAGGUUUGGUUGUGUUACAAACAAAGCAGUUGAUUGCAAUGAAACCAAACAUGACUGGAAAAGUCACGUUUAGUGUGUGUAUUUACAUCAAAUGUGUCGUCGAAAAUGGAAUGAGACGGAAUUCACGACACAAGCGGUUCACAAAAUGUGUUAGGCUAUAAAAAUGGAUUUUAUCAAACAAAAUACUGUUCAUUGUGUAACAAUGAGCAUUGGAAUUGCAAACAGAAGAAGAUUGUCAAAGGUGCAGCACUUCUAUCACCGUUUACAAACAAGAAAGGGACAGGUUAUGUCAACUGGCUGAGGAAGCAGAUGGCCC